GGGGUUGUGGUGUAAUGGCAGCACAACUGGCUCCAGACCAGUUAAUCUGGGUUCGACUCCCAGCAACCCCA
This is a transfer RNA of 71 nucleotides. It matches the Rfam family "tRNA". From Rfam's summary of the family: Transfer RNA (tRNA) molecules are approximately 80 nucleotides in length.